AGUGAACGCUGGCGGUAGGCCUAACACAUGCAAGUCGAACGGCAGCACAGGAGAGCUUGCUCUCUGUGUGGCGAGUGGCGGACGGGUGAGGAAUACAUCGGAAUCUACUUUUUCGUGGGGGAUAACGUAGGGGAACUUACGCUAAUACCGCAUACGACCUACGGGUGAAAGCAGGGGACCUUCGGGCCUUGCGCGAUUGAAUGAGCCGAUGUCGGAUUAGCUAGUUGGCGGGGGAAAGGCCCACCAAGGCGACGAUCCGUAGCUGGUCUGAGAGGAUGAUCAGCCACACUGGAACUGAGACACGGUCCAGACUCCUACGGGAGGCAGCAGUGGGGAAUAUUGGACAAUGGGCGCAAGCCUGAUCCAGCCAUACCGCGUGGGUGAAGAAGGCCUUCGGGUUGUAAAGCCCUUUUGUUGGGAAAGAAAUCCAGCUGGCUAAUACCCGGUUGGGAUGACGGUACCCAAAGAAUAAGCACCGGCUAACUUCGUGCCAGCCGCCGCCGUAA
RNAcentral lists this ribosomal RNA (506 nucleotides) under uncultured bacterium. Its description in RNAcentral is "partial 16S ribosomal RNA". It matches the Rfam family "Bacterial small subunit ribosomal RNA", at positions 29 to 523 of the family's 1533-position model. The record is from RNAcentral.